RNAcentral lists this ribosomal RNA (252 nucleotides) under uncultured bacterium. Its description in RNAcentral is "partial 16S ribosomal RNA". It matches the Rfam family "Bacterial small subunit ribosomal RNA", at positions 57 to 305 of the family's 1533-position model. The record is from RNAcentral.
GCAAGUCGAACGCGAAAGUUUCGUUCGGGAAGCGAGUAGAGUGGCGCACGGGUGAGUAAAGAGUAAGUAAUCUACCCUGGUAUCUGGGAUAACCCACCGAAAGGUGUGCUACUACCGGAUACGCUGAUUUAUCAGGAAAGGUGGCCUCUUCAUGAAAGCUACUGUACCAGGAGGAGCUUGCGUACCAUUAGCUAGUUGGUAGGGUAAUGGCCUACCAAGGCGACGAUGGUUAGCGGGUCUGAGAGGAUGAUC